AAAACCCGGUCCCCGGGUGAUCUCGCUUUUGUAUAAGUGACCUACGAAAAAAAAUAAAGUUUAUUUCUUCAACGAACAUAUUUGAUAUUUCUUUCUUCUUCCUUCUCAUCUUUCAGGGUUGCUCUUCCUUUGCUCCGCCACUUCCUCCACCGCGCUUUGUUUUCUUUCUCAAUUUCUCAUCUUUUAAGAAGUGUUGGUCGUUUAUGUGCAGUUGUUUCUUUGUUCGCUCUUGUUUUGUUAUUUUUUUAUGGCUACUGCACCGAUAAAGUCUCAGCCUUUACACAACUUCAACUUUCCGUUUCUUAAAUGGGGGACCCACGGAGGUGGUAGUUCAUCCGCUGCCACCGCCGAUCACAGCCGUUCUCCUGAAUCCGACUCGGACCACGACCGUCUUCGUCCGACGCGUGUUGGGUCACGCUCCACCCGCAUUCACCGCUCAUCCUUUCCUCCACCACCGAAAGCCAUCAAACAAAGCCACCGCGAAGAAGAACAACGAAAGCAACGAGAAGAAGAGUCGUCAAAGCCGCGAGAAAAUGAAGCUGAAGAAGAUGAGGAGGAGACUGUGCAGAGACCAUGGAAUUUGAGACCUAGAAAAGUGGUGAUGGAGACGUCGGCGGCGGUAGUGACAUCGGCGGCGGAAAAGACGAGUGAAACGGUGGGGCCGAAGUCGAUGAGAUUAAGGGGUUUCGCUGAAAAUGGGGGAGUUGCGGAAAAGAAAGAAAAAAGGAAGUUCUGGAUAGCUUUAUCAAAGGAAGAGAUUGAGGAAGACAUCUUUGUUAUAACAGGAUCAAGACCUGCAAGAAGGCCCAAGAAAAGGCCAAAGAAUAUUCAGAAACAGCUUGAUAAUGUUUUCCCUGGGUUAUGGUUGGUUGGUACGACGGCUGAUGCUUACCGUAUUGCUGAUGCUCCUGUUAAGAAAUAGAUCUAUUGUUAGAUGCAAAACAGAUUACAAAAUAUGAAAGGGGAUGGAUAUGGUAUUAGUGAACUUGCAAAUCUGGGAGCUUUGUAGGGGCUUCCCUACAUCGGUGGGGGGCAGAGUUUCAAGCUGUGUAGUUAAUUUGCAAUCCGUAAUUGGAUGAUUAACUUUAAUAUUGAGGGUACUACAUUCUUCCUUUUAUCUGGAAGAGCUCCUUCCUCUAUACAUAUGAGUUUCGCAAGGAGGAACACUUUGAGAAGGUUCUAAUUUUAGUUGAUUAAUAUAUAUAUAUAUAUAUAUAUUUGCUUUGACUAAA
This is an RNA transcript of Gossypium arboreum, 1232 nucleotides long. RefSeq lists it as uncharacterized. The record is from RefSeq and is a predicted model, not a curated record. The transcript is spliced from 5 exons. NCBI's taxonomy places the organism in Eukaryota, Viridiplantae, Streptophyta, Magnoliopsida, Malvales, Malvaceae.